AGAGUUUGAUCAUGGCUCAGGACGAACGCUGGCGGCGCGCCUAACACAUGCAAGUCGAACGGAGUUGCUUGAUCGGAUUCUUUCGGGAUGACGAACUUGUAACUUAGUGGCGAACGGGUGAGUAACGCGUGAGGAACCUGCCCCAGAGUGGGGGACAACAGUUGGAAACGACUGCUAAUACCGCAUAAGCCCACGGUGCCGCAUGGCACAGAGGGAAAAGGAUUUAUUCGCUUUGGGAUGGCCUCGCGUCUGAUUAGAUAGUUGGUGAGGUAACGGCCACCAAGUCGACGAUCAGUAGCCGGACUGAGAGGUUGAUCGGCCACAUUGGGACUGAGAUACGGCCCAGACUCCUACGGGAGGCA
Molecule: ribosomal RNA, 362 nt
Filed under: uncultured bacterium
Lineage: Bacteria
Description: bacterial SSU rRNA
Rfam family: Bacterial small subunit ribosomal RNA
Source: RNAcentral